Non-coding RNA from Pelobates cultripes (western spadefoot toad), 296 nucleotides. NCBI's taxonomy places the organism in Eukaryota, Metazoa, Chordata, Amphibia, Anura, Pelobatidae. The record is from the annotation of a GenBank genome assembly.
CACAAUUGAAGCUUUUUAAUAACAACCUACACCACACUGAUGGGUACUACCGCUAUAUACCCAUCAUAUUGACUCUGUAGGAUCCAUAACUUGUGUUCAUAAAAUAAUAAAUAUGUUGCAUUUAAAUAUACACAGGCUAUUUUAGCCAAAAAUAUAUUUUGUAUCUUAACAACCAUACCGAAACAAAAUGUGUUUUUUUUAAAAUCAUUUUGAAUUUACAAAUGUCACACUUUACACUUCUAAUCAAGAAAACAUGAACCUCUAUGCUAUAGAUUUUUUUGUUUUUAUUUUUAGAC